UACGUAGGCAGCGAGCGUUGUUCGGAGUUACUGGGCGUAAAGGGUGUGUAGGCGGUUGUUUUAAGUUUGGUGUGAAAUCUCCCGGCUCAACUGGGAGGGUGCGCCGAAUACUGAAUGACUUUGGAGUGCGGGAGAGGAGAGUGGAAUUCCUGGUGUAGCGGUGAAAUGCGCAGAUAUCAGGAAGAACACCUAUGGCGAAAGGCAGCUCUCUGGGGACGGUACUGACGCUGAGACGCGAAAAGCGUGGGGGAGCGAAACAGGG
Molecule: ribosomal RNA, 262 nt
Filed under: uncultured bacterium
Lineage: Bacteria
Description: partial 16S ribosomal RNA
Rfam family: Bacterial small subunit ribosomal RNA
Source: RNAcentral